RNAcentral lists this ribosomal RNA (443 nucleotides) under uncultured bacterium. Its description in RNAcentral is "partial 16S ribosomal RNA". It matches the Rfam family "Bacterial small subunit ribosomal RNA", at positions 338 to 795 of the family's 1533-position model. The record is from RNAcentral.
CCUACGGGGGGCAGCAGUGGGGGAUAUUGGACAAUGGGGGAAACCCUGAUCCAGCGACGCCGCGUGAGUGAAGAAGUAUUUCGGUAUGUAAAGCUCUGUCAGCAGGGAAGAAAGAAAUGACGGUACCUGACCAAGAAGCCCCGGCUAACUACGUGCCAGCAGCCGCGGUAAUUCGAAGGGGGCAAGCGUUAUCCGGAAUUACUGGGUGUAAAGGGAGCGUAGACGGUGGUGCAAGUCUGGAGUGAAAGGCGGGGGCCCAACCCCCGGACUGCUCUGGAAACUGUGUAACUUGAGUGCAGGAGAGGUAAGCGGAAGGCGUGGUGUAGCGGUGAAAUGCGUAGAUAUUAGGAGGAACACCAGUGGCGAAGGCAGCUUACUGGACUGUGACUGACGUUGAGGCUCGAAAGCGUGGGGAUCAAACAGGAUUAGAUACCCUGGUAGUC